This 3333-nucleotide long non-coding RNA is filed under the name Homo sapiens (human). Its description in RNAcentral is "HSALNT0349029". The record is from RNAcentral. Lineage: Eukaryota; Metazoa; Chordata; Mammalia; Primates; Hominidae.
CAAAAUGAGGCAGAACUUAGCUUGUCACAUAGGUGUAUUCUUCCUGGAACCGAUGCGGGGUCAGAAAACUGAUGGCUUUUAAGCAAGCUGGACGGGUCCUCUCAGCGCAUUCCCCCACCCGCCUGGCGCCAAUGGAGCUGGCCUGGCCCGCCCAGCCCCUCCCCGCCCCGUCCGCGCUCGGACCGGACUUUCAGGACUGCAGGGGAAAGGGUGGACACCCAGCCUCCCGCCAGGUCAGAGCAGAGGCUAAAAAUGGCCCAGGGGAGACUGCUGGAGUUGCAUGGAGUUCGGGAGCCUAGGAGGGGUCUGAAAAUAACUGUCAAAAAGUUUGAAGGGUGUGUGUUGGCUUGGGGAAAAAAGAGGGUGGAGUGCAUUACAUAAAACUUUUGCAGCUUGUAUUUCCUUUUUUUUUUUUUAUGUUUAAGGACGGCGGAGAUACCUUCAACGUAAGACUGCAAUCAUAAUUAAAACAUGAAUAGUAACAUUUUAAGUUCGUUGUGCCAUUAUGAACUCAUGUUAGUGUUGGACAUUCUAUGAUCCCAGUCCUGUUUAGGCAACGUUAUUGAGGGAUUUAGUUUGCGGAUCUACCUUUCAGGGACAAAGAACCUAGACAGGGAAAGAACAGUAACUUUUGACAGAAAUUUUGCUUCCUGUGAGAUGUGGUUAUUCUCUUCCUUUCACAUCUGUUUGUAGUUCUUUUAGUUUUCCCAGGCAUUAAAUAAAUUAAACCCUCUUUCUUGGAAUCACCAAUAUAUUAAUAUAUUGGGGGGAAAAAGAUUUGAAUUACUUAGGAAGUUGAUGAACUACCCACUCCAACAAUAGAGCCCUGAAAAUCAGGCUUAAGCUUUUGGCCAUACUACUAAAGACUAUCCCUCCUGACAAACACACACCCUCUUUUUUUUUUUUUUUUUUUAACUGGUUGACAGAUCUUUUUUGCAUCAUCACCAUUUUCAGUUUAGAUUCUUACUAGGUGGGAUAAAUUUCACCAUUCUAAUAUCAGCCAUCACCAUUAUGCCUGGUGAAAAAUACAGAAUGUCUGGGCUGCAUCCUCAGAGUGUCUAAUUCGGUGUUUAUGGGAAAGGGACCCAGGAGAAUCUGCAUACCCAGCAAUCCAUGUUUUCAGGGUUGUGGCUUGGGAAAGAACUGUUCCAGACUUCUGCACUUCCUAAGGACCUAUUUUGUAGAUGUUGCAGUGGACGGAAUGUUUGUGCUUUCCCUUAAAUUCAUUUGUUAAAAUCCUAACCCCAAUGUGAUGGUAUUAGGAGAUGGGGCCUUUGGGAGGUAAUUCAUAGCAUAGAGGCCGCAUGAAUGCGAUUAGUGCCCUUAUAAAAAAGGGACCCAGAGAGCUGUCUCCAUCUUUCUGCCACAGGAGGAUACAAAAAUACAUCAGUUUGCAAACCAGAAGAAGGUCCUCACCAGAAACCAACUAUGCUGGCACCCUGAUCUUGGACUUCUAGCCUCCAGAACUGUGAGAAAUAAAUGUGUGUUUAUAAACCAGUCAGUCAGUCUAUGGUGCUUUAUUAUAGCAUCUGGAACGAGCUAAGACAGCUGCUAAGUAGCAUUCCAUUUGACAAGGAAGACUUACCAUUCACACUACUUCUGAGUUCAAUGAAAGAGAGGCUCGGUUCCUUACCUGUAAAAUAGAGAUCAUAUAGAGAUGUCGGGAAGAUUUAAUAACAUCAUGCAAGCAAUAUGCCUACAAGAGUGCCUGUAAAACAUUAAGCCUUGGAAAUAAAAGAAGCAGAACUGUAACAUCCUGAGAAAACACAGAGACAUUGAAGUAUAUGAGCACGACACAUCUGCAAAUCUUUAAGCAAAAUGGUAAAAGUGAGAGCUGUGUUCUCAUUAUAAGGCUAGCUAUGUUAAUAAACUCAGAAAAUAACAAUUGGAUCUUAAAAGAACAAAAUGAAAAAAUAAUCUUCUCCAGUAACAAAUUAUAUCUACCUGUCAACUAUUUCAUAAGAUAGAAAUGUUAGGGUUGGGCAUCAUAGCCCACACCCGUAAUCUAAGCACGUUGGGAGGCUGAGGCCAGAGGAUCGCUUGAGGCCAGAAGUCAGCACUCAAAUUUCUGAUAUGAUAAGCCAAACCACUGAUGGAAUCAAUAAAGCAGACUGACAAUCUGACACUAAACUAAGCAAACAGAUUUUGUAAGUUUAGAAACUAAGGCAUGAAUCUAUUAUACAGUCACUACAUCUGCAUCUGCCAGUAAACCUAAAGCUUAACUUCAUAGACAAAUUUGAUACCCUUAAAAUUGACUCUUUUUUUAUAUAAAGCAUUUGUGUGUUUUUUGCCACUAAAAUGGUUUAUGCUAACAUUCAAAUUCCUUAUCAUAUGUGAGACUGCCACCUGUGUCCCAAAUGACCACAAAGAGGAAGAAUGUGGGUUAUCGUUUGAAUAUAAUCAUGAUCACAGCAUUGAAGAGUAUAUGAUAGAGAUUUAAUACGGCCUUUCAAUAGACUGGGAGAGAGUCUAAUAUUAAUUUUCUAAAAAGUUCCCCUCUAGAAGAUACCAACCUUGGAUAUAAUAAUUACAAACCCUACUAAAAACCAAGUAAUUUUCUUUCAAUUCUGAAAAUUGUCCAAAAGGUGUUAACUCCUUCACUCAUCAGAAAAACACUGCAUGGCAGUCAAGCCAAACAAGGACUCAGCAAUAGCAUCGUUAACAAUUAUAAUUGAAACUUGGGUCACAAUAAGUGACAUCAACUUACCAUAGAAUUAUUCCAGUUCUAUUUUUAAUCCUAUUAAAGACAGUAAUUACAAUGGUAUAAUUACAGCCCCCAAAUACUCCAUACCUGGAAUGUGGCAGCUUCUGGAGCUUUUGGAUCAGUUUCACUCAGCUCAUUGGACAAGUGCCAAUUGGUAUUACCAAUGGUGCUUAAAGUUCUGAAAACUCAAUAAAGCUUUAAAAACCUUGAGGAACAAUAGCUCAUCAGGACACCCAAAGAAUAAUGUUACAUCAUGAAGACAAACAUUCUCAUUUUCUUUCUUCUGCAGAUUUCUUUUCCUGCCUGCACUUUCUUUGAGGUUGCAGUAGAGAGUGUGUGUCUACAGAAGGUACUGUAUGCAUAGCUAUAAGGAGGUCUUACCCUCUGUCUUUUUAUCUUUCUGGGCCCUUCUUUACCCUUGUUCUUCCUCUUCUCCUCUCUUAAUUCUAUAAUGGGUCUUCACAUAUUGCUGUACCUUCUCAUGUUACUUGAAUAGAAUUUUGAUACUUAAUCUGAAAAGCUGAUAAGUGAAAACAUUUGUUUUGUGGUAUAUUAAGUACUUUAUUGAAAUUAUUAAUUUCACAUAUUUUAAAGUUAUAUAGCUUUUAGCUAAUUUUUUGGAUAAUUUC